RNAcentral lists this ribosomal RNA (460 nucleotides) under uncultured bacterium. Its description in RNAcentral is "partial 16S ribosomal RNA". It matches the Rfam family "Bacterial small subunit ribosomal RNA", at positions 338 to 795 of the family's 1533-position model. The record is from RNAcentral.
CCUACGGGAGGCAGCAGUGAGGAAUAUUGGUCAAUGGACGAGAGUCUGAACCAGCCAAGUAGCGUGAAGGAUGACUGCCCUAUGGGUUGUAAACUUCUUUUAUAAAGGAAUAAAACGAGGCACGUGUGCCUUUUUGCAUGUACUUUAUGAAUAAGGAUCGGCUAACUCCGUGCCAGCAGCCGCGGUAAUACGGAGGAUCCGAGCGUUAUCGGGAUUUAUUGGGUUUAAAGGGAGCGUAGAUGGGUUGUUAAGUCAGUUGUGAAAGUUUGCGGCUCAACCGUAAAAUUGCAAUUGAUACUGGCAGUCUUGAGUACAGUUGAGAUAGGCGGAAUUCGUGGUGUAGCGGUGAAAUGCUUAGAUAUCACGAAGAACCCCGAUUGCGAAGGCAGCUUACUAAGCUGUGACUGACAUUGAUGCUCGAAAGUGUGGGUAGCAAACAGGAUUAGAUACCCUUGUAGUC